Molecule: ribosomal RNA, 425 nt
Filed under: uncultured bacterium
Lineage: Bacteria
Description: bacterial SSU rRNA
Rfam family: Bacterial small subunit ribosomal RNA
Source: RNAcentral
UGGGGAAUUUUGGACAAUGGGCGCAAGCCUGAUCCAGCCGUGCCGCGUGCAGGAUGAAGGCCUUCGGGUUGUAAACUGCUUUUGUACGGAACGAAAGGUUCUGCCCUAAUACGGUGGGAAUAUGACGGUACCGUAAGAAUAAGCACCGGCUAACUACGUGCCAGCAGCCGCGGUAAUACGUAGGGUGCGAGCGUUAAUCGGAAUUACUGGGCGUAAAGCGUGCGCAGGCGGUUAUGUAAGACAGAUGUGAAAUCCCCGGGCUCAACCUGGGAACUGCAUUAGUGACUGCAUAGCUGGAGUACGGCAGAGGGGGAUGGAAUUCCGCGUGUAGCAGUGAAAUGCGUAGAUAUGCGGAGGAACACCGAUGGCGAAGGCAAUCCCCUGGGCCUGUACUGACGCUCAUGCACGAAAGCGUGGUGAGCAAA